Sturnus vulgaris (Common starling) is the source of this 744-nucleotide non-coding RNA. The record is from RefSeq and is a predicted model, not a curated record. NCBI's taxonomy places the organism in Eukaryota, Metazoa, Chordata, Aves, Passeriformes, Sturnidae.
AUCAACUCUCCAUUAAAUACUUUUCCUAAAAUUGUUUGCCUUAUUCUACUUUCAUGCUAAUGAAAUAAAAUCUCAGAAGUACCAGUAUCUGCUAAAGUGGCAGAUAUAUAUUGGUGGAACAAAGUCUGACAUUAUGCUGGACAGAAUAUGAAUUCCUGACUGGACUUCGUGUACUUCUGUUGCUCUGCAGGCUGCAGUGUGAGUGACUGACUUAGUGGUAUGAAAGAGGACAGCCACGUUUGAGGGGCUGCCAGCCUGAGAUGCUGGUGCCUGCAUAUUGAAGACUCAGGAACUGUACAGAACAUCAGAUUCUGAUGCCAUUCCUGGGCUGUAGGCUCUUCCUUGGGCCACCCUUCAUUUUUAUUUGUACAGCACCUAGCACUAAAAGGACUCACUUUCCCUUUAGCCCUCAAACCAUAUAAAUACAUGUAAACAGUAAUAACUGGCCACCAAUGCACUUCAAAGUGAACCACAGAGAUCAACAGAGGUCAGAUCCCCUUUAACUCCAUGAAAACAGCAGCAAUACGCUUGAAAAUUAGUAAUGGUGGAAAAUGAUAGAUAUUUAUUCCUGAGAACCAACUGUCUGUUUCCAGAGUAGAACUCAACUCAUACUUUGUAAGAGAAAUACACUACCUCUCUAAACUUAGAUUUAAAAGUGUCAGCCUCUCUACUCAUGAAAGUGUGCAUUCAUUGCUAAGGUACACAGUGGCUAUAUGAAAAUUUUCCUACCAUUAAGUUGAUAUU